This 339-nucleotide ribosomal RNA is filed under the name uncultured soil bacterium. Its description in RNAcentral is "bacterial SSU rRNA". It matches the Rfam family "Bacterial small subunit ribosomal RNA", at positions 26 to 363 of the family's 1533-position model. The record is from RNAcentral.
AGAUUGAACGCUGGCGGCAGGCCUAACACAUGCAAGUCGAGCGGCAGCACGGGUACUUGUACCUGGUGGCGAGCGGCGGACGGGUGAGUAAUGCCUAGGAAUCUGCCUGGGUAGUGGGGGAUAACGCUCGGAAACGGACGCUAAUACCGCAUACGUCCUACGGGAGAAAGCAGGGGACCUUCGGGCCUUGCGCUAUCAGAUGAGCCUAGGUCGGAUUAGCUAGUUGGUGAGGUAAUGGCUCACCAAGGCGACGAUCCGUAACUGGUCUGAGAGGAUGAUCAGUCACACUGGAACUGAGACACGGUCCAGACUCCGUACGGGAGCGAGCAGUGGGGAAUA